This 458-nucleotide ribosomal RNA is filed under the name uncultured bacterium. Its description in RNAcentral is "bacterial SSU rRNA". It matches the Rfam family "Bacterial small subunit ribosomal RNA", at positions 29 to 531 of the family's 1533-position model. The record is from RNAcentral.
AACGAACGCUGGCGGCAGGCCUAACACAUGCAAGUCGAGCGAACCCUUCGGGUUAGCGGCGGACGGGUUAGUAACGCGUGGGAAUAUACCCUUUGGUACGGAAUAGCCUCGGGAAACUGAGAGUAAUACCGUAUGUGCCCUUCGGGGAAAGGAUUAUCGCCAAAGGAUUAGCCCGCGUUGGAUUAGGUAGUUGGUGGGGUAAUGGCCUACCAAGCCUACGAUCCAUAGCUGGUUUGAGAGGAUGAUCAGCAACACUGGGACUGAGACACGGCCCAGACUCCUACGGGAGGCAGCAGUGGGGAAUCUUAGACAAUGGGCGCAAGCCUGAUCUAGCCAUGCCGCGUGGACGAUGAAGGCCUUAGGGUUGUAAAAGUCCUUUCAGAUGGGAAGAUAAUGACGGUACCAUCAGAAGAAGCCCCGGCUAACUCCGUGCCAGCAGCCGCGGUAAAGUCUGUACU